AAAGGUAGCAUAAUCAAUUGGCUUAUAAUUGAAGUCUAGUAUGAAUGGGAAUCCGGGGAAUAGCUCUCUCAAUUAAGAUUAUAUAAUUUACUUAAUGAGUGAAAAGACUCAUAAUUAGAAGAAAGACGAGAAGACCCUAGAAAUUUUGUUAUAUUAGACUGUAUAUUAUUUUGUUGGGGCGACAUAGUAACAAUAUAACUUACUAUACUAUACACAAGCUACUUAUAAGAUGUUGGAUUAAAUUACUCUAGGGAUAACAGCAUUAUUCAAUUUGAGUUUUUGACCUCGAUGUUGGACUAGGAAAUAAUUUCUUUAGAAGAUAAAUUAAACGGCUCUGUUCGAGCUUCAACUCCUACAU
Molecule: ribosomal RNA, 358 nt
Filed under: Trochulus hispidus complex sp. 159 LK-2014
Lineage: Eukaryota; Metazoa; Mollusca; Gastropoda; Stylommatophora; Hygromiidae
Description: partial 16S ribosomal RNA
Source: RNAcentral